Molecule: ribosomal RNA, 468 nt
Filed under: uncultured bacterium
Lineage: Bacteria
Description: partial 16S ribosomal RNA
Rfam family: Bacterial small subunit ribosomal RNA
Source: RNAcentral
GACGAACGCUGGCGGCGUGCUUAACACAUGCAAGUCGAACGGAAAGGCCCUGCUUUUGUGGGGUGCUCGAGUGGCGAACGGGUGAGUAACACGUGAGUAACCUGCCCUUGACUUUGGGAUAACUUCAGGAAACUGGGGCUAAUACCGGAUAGGAGCUCCUGCUGCAUGGUGGGGGUUGGAAAGUUUCGGCGGUUGGGGAUGGACUCGCGGCUUAUCAGCUUGUUGGUGGGGUAGUGGCUUACCAAGGCGUUGACGGGUAGCCGGCCUGAGAGGGUGACCGGCCACAUUGGGACUGAGAUACGGCCCAGACUCGUACGGGAGGCAGCAGUGGGGAAUAUUGCACAAUGGGAGGAAGCCUGAUGCAGCAACGCCGCGUGCGGGAUGACGGCCUUCGGGUUGUAAACCGCUUUCGCCUGUGACGAAGCGUGAGUGACGGUAAUGGGUAAAGAAGCACCGGCUAACUACGUG